GGUUGUUUGGCCGAGCGGUCUAAGGCGCCUGAUUCAAGUAUUGGUUUAUUUGGCUACAGUUACACUGUGGGAAUACUCAGGUAUCGUAAGAUGCAAGAGUUCGAAUCUCUUAGCAACCA
Molecule: transfer RNA, 119 nt
Organism: Tetrapisispora phaffii CBS 4417
Lineage: Eukaryota; Fungi; Ascomycota; Saccharomycetes; Saccharomycetales; Saccharomycetaceae
Rfam family: tRNA
About the family: Transfer RNA (tRNA) molecules are approximately 80 nucleotides in length. Their secondary structure includes four short double-helical elements and three loops (D, anti-codon, and T loops). Further hydrogen bonds mediate the characteristic L-shaped molecular structure. tRNAs have two regions of fundamental functional importance: the anti-codon, which is responsible for specific mRNA codon recognition, and the 3' end, to which the tRNAs corresponding amino acid is attached (by aminoacyl-tRNA synthetases). tRNAs cope with the degeneracy of the genetic code in two manners: having more than one tRNA (with a specific anti-codon) for a particular amino acid; and 'wobble' base-pairing, i.e. permitting non-standard base-pairing at the 3rd anti-codon position.
Source: Rfam